Molecule: transfer RNA, 34 nt
Filed under: Coffea bridsoniae
Lineage: Eukaryota; Viridiplantae; Streptophyta; Magnoliopsida; Gentianales; Rubiaceae
Description: partial tRNA-Phe
Source: RNAcentral
GGAUAGCUCAGAUGGUAGAGCAGAGGACUGAAAA